Long non-coding RNA from Syzygium oleosum, 802 nucleotides. RefSeq lists it as uncharacterized. Lineage: Eukaryota; Viridiplantae; Streptophyta; Magnoliopsida; Myrtales; Myrtaceae. The transcript is spliced from 2 exons. The record is from RefSeq and is a predicted model, not a curated record.
GUCGAAACAUUUCACAAAAAAGGUGAUUCUCUCUAAUGACUCUUCCGAGGAUUUUCUCAUUUUCCUCUCGUCGGAUUUCCCUCGGAUUUCGCCGUUAGCAGCCUCCAAGCUGUGACCAGACCCGCCCCCGUUUGGUCUGUCUCUUCCAGACGAGGAGGCUAAGGUGCGUUCAUCCUCUCGUCCCCCAUCGGAGCUCGCCUUCCCUCUCGGCGUUCCGGAGAGCUUACCAUCGCAGAUUCGUCGGGCGACCCCAGUCGGCAUUCCCUCUCUAACCAGACCGAGUCUAGAAUGGGUCUGUUUUCUUCCCUCGACCCACUGCUCGCAACGUGUUCGUUGAAAUGCCUAAACCGACCCACCAUGUCUUGUCCCGAAUCUGAGCAUUGUUUUAGUCGUUCUUGGUUGCUUUGUGCCCCGAUUGUCAUCAGCAUUGAGAGUUCAACGGAUUAUACUGUUUGUGUCGAUGUGGGUUGUGGCCGGUGAGGAUGAGCGGUGGUGUUCCUUUGCGGAGAGCUAUGGUUGUUGAAGCUUCAUCGUGGAAUUCUAGGUAGGAAUUUCAUGUGAGAGAUGUACGACGGAAUAGAUUGAUGGAGGAGAGUUAAGGAUGGCAUUGGCUGAUGAUGAUAGGUGAAUGCAGUGCUUGGUAAUGGAAGUCUUGCAGUAGGCAAUAAUAGGUCAUCGGCGGUGGGGUGUAUAUGUUCAAUGCACUGACACUUUGGCUGAUUUCUCACGCUGUUUGAUAUGCGGAGCGUAUAUUUUCAAAGAUUACACUUCUAUUUAUUUCCUUAUCUUUUUAUUUUAGAAA